Molecule: ribosomal RNA, 279 nt
Filed under: uncultured bacterium
Lineage: Bacteria
Description: partial 16S ribosomal RNA
Rfam family: Bacterial small subunit ribosomal RNA
Source: RNAcentral
UGCCAGCAGCCGCGGUAAUACGAAGGGCCCGAGCGUUGCGCGGAAUCAUUGGGCUUAAAGCGUACGUAGGCGGACAUGCAGGCGUUUUGUGAAAGCCCUCGGCUCAACCGAGGAAUUGCUUGACGAACCGCAUGUCUUGAAGCAAGUAGGGGCUGUCGGAACGAUAGGUGGAGUGGUGAAAUGCGUUGAUAUCUAUCGGAACGCCGAAGGAGAAAUUAGGCAGCUGGGCUUGUCUUGACGCUGAGGUACGAAAGCGUGGGGAGCGAACGGGAUUAGAUA